CUUUCUUGGAAGCAUUUUAUGACUCUUAUUUCUGUUAUCAACACAGCUUUUAUUUAUGUCUCCAUGUAUCCUUUGAAGAAACACAACUUUUCAGGUUCUAUGUUUUAUUUGCAUUCUUAGUGUCUGGCACAUUGUCUGACACAGUGUAAAAGCUGAGUAGAAUUUUGCCUGAUAGCAGAUGUGCCUGAAGUGAGGGUGUCCAAAAUUUCAUUAAAUGACGACUGCUUUAAUAUGAAUUCUUGGCUAAGGCAGGAGAAUCGCUUGAACCCAGGAGGCAGAGGUUGCAGUGAGCCGAGAUCACACCACUGCACUCCAGCCUGGUGAGAGAGGGAGACUGCAUUCUCAAAAAAAAAAAAAAAAAAAAAAAAAAAAAAAAAAAAGAAUAUAUAUGAAUUCUUACUGAUAGUAUUAAAUGAUUAUCUCUUUACAUUCACAGUAAUGUCUUACAAUAACAGAAUGCAGGAGAGCACAUAUCAAUGAAGAAAAGACAAAAUGUACUUAUCCAUGAAGCUGAGGUUAAGAAACCAGUGUCUUCAAGAGCCAGGGACAGCACUGGGUCUGUGCAGAGUUGAGAGAUGGUGAUGACAUGUGGUUUCCAGCAUUCCUCACCCAGUCCAGGGACACUGUGGGUGUGCCCAGCUUAAGUCCAGUAACUGGAAAUACAAGCCCAAGUUCUGGAGAGUUUGAGCUGCAGAGAUAUAUAUGGGAACACUUUGAAUCUUGACUCAUUGGCCAUAACCAGCAGAGUGGAAAAUACAAGAAGAGAAAAAAACAUUGAACUGCGAUUUUAUAACAUCCUUUACUAGGCAGAGAGAAGAGGAAACACCAGGAAAGAAAACUGUAUUACGAUGUGAAAACUUAAUGUUGAGAAAUUCAGGCAUCUUGGGGUUAGUGAGGAGAAGUUUUAGGGGCUUAGAUUCUUCUAAACACAUGUACAGAAAUGCAUAUUUCAUCUGAUAUCAAAUGGCAUUUAUAGUGCUAAUCUUUACCUCAAGACUUCACAUCUUUUGGUGAUUGCAUCUUUUAGGUUUAUAGCAGCUAAGUUUGCAUGAAAACACCAGGGCUGUUUCAUUUCAGUCAAGAAUUAAUGUUCAUUGAUUGUGCUUCUGCAUUUCAUGUAACUAUUGUAGAAUUUGUUUUAGUUUUAUGAGGGAAUAAUUGUUCCAACUUCUAUAUAACUCAGGAAUUUACUCUCAAACAACACUGUCAAUUAGUUACUUAUCUCUCUGGAAAUGAUCUGGGAACAUGGAGAGGAAAGGGAGGAAGGGGCAAAAUCUGACCACUUAAAUCUAAGCAUAUUAGAUCAUUUUAUGCUAGAAAGUCCUGAAUGAUGUGACUUUCGUUCUUGUAAAACACCUCUUUCCAUAGAUUCAUGGCCCAAACAGUAUAUAAAGAGUGGGGAAGGAACUGCAUUUGCAAAUAGUUCAAAUCAUUGCUCCAUCUUAACUACGCAGUUCACAAAGUGUGAAGAAAUGUGAUCAUCUCAAAAAAGAUAAUGGGGAAAAAAUAUGUUUUGUUCUGUGACUUUAAAGUCUUGCAAUAUUUUACAUAAAUGAUAAUGGGUGCUUUAAUAAGAACUCUUGAUACUUUUGUUAUUGUAUUCAAUAUAUGCAUAUAAUACAACAGGAUGAUAUUGUUUUGGAUUUGGAAAUGUAUUCUUUCUUAUGCAAUCUUAUGCAGUCAUACUGCUUGAAUAUCAUUACCUGAAUUUAUCUUUCUUUUUUUUGUUGUUGUUUUACACUCUACUUAUUUGGUGCCUGUCAGUCUUUUGUCGUCAGUUUAUAUUCUACUAAACUCAAAAAGACAAUCUCAUACCUUUUGUAAUUGUAGGCAUUCUUUACUAGAUUUUUAAAUACACUUCAAAAAUUCAAGUACUUUGAUUUCAUGCCAUCAAGUAGCUGAAUCUAUCCCCCCGUCUCUUUUUAAAUUUAAGUGAGUAGUUCAAUUUCUGUCACUUUCUACUUUGUGAAUUCUAAAUCUUUUAAAACCAUCUUGCCAUUUUUCGUGCACUUACCCUUACAGAAAACUCUGUGAAACACUACUUAUCUCUACUUUUAUGUUUUUAACUCCUUUUUUAUAUUACUAUUCCCUCUGCUUUCUAAAUGCACAUAUUAAUUUGUUCUUUUUAUUCUCUGUAGCUCUUCUCAGUGUAUGAAUUCAGUUUCCCAUCAGUCUCCAUACAAUUAAAAAAAAGUUGAGUAUUCUGUUAUUUUAAUAAGAUAUCUAGUGCCCAUAUUCUAAUUCUGCCCCUUAUUUUUAAUAUAAUUUUAUUGUUGAUUUAAAAUGACAACAGUUUCAAUUCCCAGAAAGUGAAAGGAAACAAAGGAAUAAUAUUAUAGGCUUAAUUUUUAUCAGUGAACUUGUAGGUGAAGAAAAGAUUUGGGGAAGGAAAUGAACAUAUUAUAUUGCAAAAUAGUAAGGAACAAUCAGAUGUGUUUUCUAGUCUCUGGAAAAGCAUGUUUCAAGAAAUUCAAUGAAAAGUUCAUCAUGCUUGCUUAGAUUGUUGAGAAGCAAAAACACUGAUGAACAUUUGGAAGCAAUGAGAAUGUAAUUCUAAUCAUACUCUUUUAAUAAUGUUGCAAAACUCUCCAAACACUACUCUGUGUGGAUGUCUUUCAGAAUAUGAUGAAUACUAGUAGUCUUAUUCUGCCCUUUUCUCUCUAUCACAAUAUAUACAUUCUAUAUUGCAUACACAUAUUUUCCAAAUAUUACAUAUAAUUUCAUGUAAUUUAUAGACCUAUUAAGGCCCAACCAUUUUCUUGGAUAGGGGAUUCUUUAGAAGUCCAGCUUAAAUAAAGCCCGUAUAGAAAGUUUUUUUAAAAUUUAUACAUAAUCACCUAAAGUAACCUUAUCUACUGAACUCUUAGUACAUGCUACUGGAACCUUUUAUCAUGUUUCUUCCUGGCUUGCAUUACAACACUGUUGACAUAUCUCAGCCUUACUUCUAGGCUUCUUUGAGAGCAUGACUCAUGUUUGUAUUCCUCACUGAGGUUGAAUGAAUAAGAGAAACUACAGUAGUAGGAAAAAACAGUACAUGUACAUAUCAAUGAAUAUGAAAGGGUCAAAUGGAUCUAUUAUAGUAAGCACAAAAUCAACUGACACCAGCAAAGUAAACCCAAAAUUUUUAAUGGUAUUUUAAUAGAUCAAGAGGAGCAAGCAGAUUUUUGAGACAGUUGUCUCCUACUUUCUCUAUCACAGGGAGUAAUUUUAAAAGAAAAAUGGAGGGUAAGUUUCUUUAAGAGAAAAUUGUAGUUUAAAACAGGUCAUGGGAUAAUUAGAAAUAAUUUAAUUUCUUUAGAGGAUUUUAAUCUUUCAACUGCUUGCAAUUAGAUCCUAAGGCAAUAAAAGAAUAAGGAGAUUUGGAAAACCAUUGUCUGUAAUCUCUGAAGAAAAGUGGACAUUAGGGGAGUCAGUUGAAAAGCAAAGCUAUCACCAUUUUCUAAAGAGGAAAAAGGUGAACCUCACAAACUAUAGACCAAAAAAAUAGGACAUCGAGAGAAAGAAUAUGAAGCUAGCAUAGGUUCACAAAGAAUGAGUCAAAUCAAACAACAUGCAUUUUUUAUUUAUAAAGCAUGACUUGUUCAUUGUCAAUUCAUGUUAGCUUAAUCAUUAGGCAUUAAUGCCAUCACUGCAAUGCAUAUGUCAGCAAUAAAUAAUCAAAGACCAGGCUUCCAUCAUUCUGUUUAAUAUCUUCAAGUAAUGCUUAAGUUUGCAAAUGCUCUUUUAACACAUUCUCCAUAUGCAGCCUGCCCAGCACUGCACACAAUAGACCUGUUACUUCCCCCUCACGAGCACUCCUAAUAUUUCAUGUGCUCAUCCAAUUGACUUCUCCCACUGGUGCCUCAUAUUGAAUUUGUAGAAUCACACCUGCUCCUUUUUCAAAACUCUUCUGAGUUUUUUCUUAAAUAAUUCACUGACCCCAAAGUUGUCAGAUAUUUGAAGACUACUCGCACAAUUUUAAUAUUAUAAAUGUAUAAUGUAAAUGUAAUUAAGAUUUGUAUAAUGUACGAUGUACUUUGGUAAAUAAAAGUAUGCUGUGAAUAAAUACGUAUGAUACAAUUCAAAAUUUUACAUAAAUAUGUGAUAAAAUUUAGCUCAUAUUCUUUUUUUUUUUCUUUGAGACGGAGUCUCACUCUGUUGCACCCAGGCUAGAGUGCAGCAGCAUGAUCUCAGCUCACUGCAACCUCUACCUCCUGGGUUCAAACAAUUCUCCUGCCUCAGCCUCCUGAGUAGCUGGGAUUACAGGUGCCCGCCACCAUGCCCAGCUAAUUUUUUUCUAUUUUUGUUGUUGUUGUUGUUUUUAGUAGAGACGGGGUUUCACCAUGUUGGUCAGGCUGGUCUUGAACUCCUGACCUCAGAUAAUCCACCUGCCUCGGCCUCCCAAAGUUCUGGGAUUACAGACGUGAACCACGGUGCCCGGCCUAGUUCAUGUUCUUUAAGGACAAUUAUGAAUAUUUUUAUGCACUGUUAAUUUUCAUUAAGAUAUUGAUCAAUUAAUAGCUAUAUAUGUUCUAUAAAUUAAUCCUAUCUAGUUUCAAUCUUAAAUUGUUUGCAUAUACCAAUCUAGUUUAUUGUUUGCAUAUAUUUUAUAGUGUAGAGAUUAGGCAUUUUAAUAAAAUUUUAAAAUUUCCAGGACAUACUGUUAAUGACUAUGCUUCCUACUAUAGGCCAUAAUUAAUUUUUUUCUAUUGUCAACAAUAUUUUGGUAGGGAUGAUCAGGAAAUAAGGAAAUGUUUCCUUCAUUUGUUAACAAUAGGUGUUUGGGGAUUUUAAAAUGAAAAUUGAAGAAGUAAAAGACACCAUAUAUUUAGUUUGUUUGAUUUCGUGGCUUCAAGAGUUCAAUAAUUUAUUGAAAUAUUUUACAGACCAAAGAACAACAGAUAUAUUACGUUUAUAAGCCCCCACAUAUUUUAAAGGAUAAUGGUUUAUAUAUGAAAAUUCCCUGAACCUACACUUCAUCAGGAAAAGCUAAAUAAAAGAAGUUUACAUUUCCUAGGACUAAUGGAGAUUUAUUUCCCAGUCCUCUUCUCUGGAGACAAAUGUAGGUCUCUCUUGAAAAGCAGAAAGUUUUGCAUAUGAGGUAUGAUUUAGUGGGCUAGAAACAUCUUUUCCACCCUCCCCAAAAUGUUUCACUAUGUUUUAUCAUACUAUCUGAUAAUUUUGCACUAAAGUUUUCUUUCUGUGUUAAGAAAAUGCAAAUAUCUCUGAAUGGGUCUCUUUGCUUUAGUCAUACUCAUAUGGCUACUACUGAACAAAAUAUGUUCAUUACAGGAUGAAGGGAAUGUUGCCAGCCAGCAAAUCCCUAGAGUUUGCACUACACCAAACGUUGCUUAGCAAUUUCCACGAUUUUCUCAGUCUAAUUUGCAAGAAUCAAGGAGAUGUUUGUGUAUGCUACAUGAAGUUGUAAAAUUGGUAUUUAUUGUAUGUUUCUAUAUCGAAAGCUUUACAAACAAAGGAAAUGGAAAGUUAACAGGUGGAUAUGAUAGUGUGGCACUACUUUAGCUGGAUGGUAAGGGAGAGCUUCUCUUAGGAAGUGUUUUAGGCCAGGACUUGAAUAAUGAACAGUAUCUAGUUGUACAAAAAUCUGGAGGAAAGACUUUUCAGGCCCAGGAGAAAUGAAAAUUCUUUUCAUGCAUACAAGAAUGAAAGUGAAAAUUACCUACUCUAUGUCCUGAAGUGGGAAGUUGGCUUGCCAGAGAGUAGGUAAUUUUCACUUUGAUUCUUUCAUGCCUUCAGUUAUACUACUUCUUAGGUUAGUUCAUAAGGGUUUCCACAAUUUGGUUCCCACUUAAAAUUUAAAACUUCCCUAACCCAUUCCCACCAUAUAUUGUGCUAAUCCAUGCAUAUGUGACUUUGCGUAUGCUGUUUUCAUUGUUUAAUAUUCUUCUCAUGCAUUCGUUCUUUCCUGAUAACGAACUCAUCUUUGAAACUCCCCUUCAAGCAUCCUCUACUUUAGGAGGCCGCUUCUCACUGUCUCCUGCCUACCACCCAUUGAAUUGUUCAAUUUUUAAGCUGCCAUUGUCUUGUGCAGUUGACACAUUUCUUUGCAAUUACUGAUUUACAUGUCUGCUUUUAUCACUGGUGAGGUUCUUUAGGACAGAGACAUUAUUAAUUCAUCUCUGGGCACAUAUGUUCCAACAUAUUAGAAGUACUACAGAGUGCUAUUACUAUGUAGUAUGUAGUAUUAGUAGUAGUUACUCACAAAUCAUUUUUAAAUAAGUGAUUAUAAUAUCUUUUUGUUAUUAUGAUUUAACACAAGAUGGAAUUUAUUUUCAGAAGUUUCCAUGAUAUAUUUGUUCUAUUUAAAAUCCAAUAGCCAUUAGAAUAUUACCAUUAUUUAAUGUAAAACAAUAAAAUAUUAAAUAUGAUCGUUCAUAUUUAAUGCAAACCGAACUCAUGGAAAUAUUGUGUAAAGAUCAAGUAAUUUUUGACAUACAAUUUUAAACUCAACUUUUCAUAUAGCAUACCUUAUGAUAUAUUUUCAGCCUACUUUUAAAUAUGUUGGCAUUGAAAGCCAGUUACUAAUUCGCUGAAUUCAUGAUUUCUUUUUAAGUUAUAGAAGUGGAAUUAUGUUUGAGAUAUUCAUUGCAUUACAUUUACCAGAACUUGAGUUCUUAACAUGGAACCUGAGAGUUUCUCCAAUUCUUAAGUCCCUGGGAGAAAUAGAUUAGCUGGAUGAGGAACUGAGAGGAAAAAUGGUCAGAGAUGUAGCAAGAGUUGGGAAGAAGGAACAAUGAUUUGCUUUCAAGGAGAUUUUUUCAUUGGUCUGUUUUCAGUGACAAACCCACUGCGAUAAUACAUGUAAAGUGAAAACAUUCAGGAAGUUCCCUUAGAAACCUCUUUUCUGGCAGUUCCUAAUUCUACAACAUUGUAUAAGUGAAAUACCAUAGUUACUGUCAUAGUAAAUUGAGCCAAGAGAAACAAGGGAGCAGGAGAAGAAAAGAAUUAAAGAGAGUUUUGUCUUUCAGUCUUCACUCUGUUUCUUCUUGCUUUUACCAGUCAUUCAGGUUUAUAUAAUUUCUUUAGAGAGGCUUCUACUAUGCAGGUCUUCCUUAAAGUCAUUGGUAUUACCUGGCAUGAUAUGUGAGCCUUUAAUAUCAGUCCCUUUAUCUCUUUAUUUUUAAAGUUUAUAUCAGUACAGAGUCCUGGAUUCUUAAUUAAUUUAAUAGGUUAGACUUUAUGCUAAUAUUCUUCAUUUUGAUGCUCAAAUUUUCCAAAAUUUGGCCAGCAGGGUUCCUUAAAGCUGGGUACCUUGCCCUUUCAACAUGUCCCUCUGAUUCUUUAUUUUUAUUUACUUAUUUAUUUAUUUAUUUAUUUAUUUAUUUAUUUAUUUAUUUAGAGACUGAGUCUUGCUCUGUCUCCCAGCCUGGAGUGCAAUGGCACAAUCUUGGCUCACUGCAACCUCUAUCUCCCAGGUUCAAGCAAUUCUCCUCCCUCAGCCUCCCGAGCAACUGGGACUACAGGCAUGUGCAACCAUGCCUGGCUAAUUUUUUUUGUAUUUUUAGUAGAGACAGGCUUUCACCAUGUUGGUCAGGCUGGCCUCGAUCUCCUGACCUCAAAUGAUCCAUCGCCUCGGCCUCCCAAAGUGCUGGGAUUACAGGCGUGAGCUGCCACACCCAGCCGUCCCUCUCAUUCUUUAAGUACUUCCAUGUUUUCUAAGGUACAAGAUGUUCCAUAUUAUUUUGUUAUUUGUCUUCCCCAGCUCUGAAAUCUGCCUUUCCUUCAAGGAGCCUUGGUUCUUUCUAGUGACAAAUUAUAUUUAGAAAGAAGAUCUGGGUAUUUGACUUGUAUAUUGCUAUUAAUUGGCCAUUGUUUCUAGUCUCUUUCAGUAGACAGAGCUAAGAAAUGUAAAAGGAAAUAUUUGAAUGUAUGUAUAUGUGAUAUAUUAAGUACAUUUAAACAUAUUAAAUUCAUGAGUUCAUACUAAUACUUUCAAUAAGCCACAAUUCCCUUUUCAUGUUUUCGAAGGAAAAAUAUCCAUUGUCUAUAUACAGUGGACAUAGAUAGUAAUAAUACUGAUCUUGAAAAGAGCAGUCUUAAAUAGAUCCCAUUAAUAGUUAAAGAUAACAUAUCUUAGAAUUCUAGAUAUUAGAGAGAUUAUCUAGAGCUGUAAUCUAGAUAUUUUAUAGAUCUUUGCUGUGCUGUUUUGAAUUUGUGUUGGAGUAGAACAAUCAGAUGACAAAAGCUCAUCCCACAUGGAAAAAUCAAAGCAUUCAUUACAGAGAGAAUUUUGAAAUAAAUGCAUAUAUAAAAAAUAUAUAUGCAUAUAUAAUGCAUAUGUAUAUGCAUAUAAAAUAUAUAUAUAUAAAAUGAGGGUUAUAAACAAUGAAGGAAAUAGUGAUACUAUCUAUGUGGGAACAAUACUAGUAUCCUCCCUUUGGAUGAAUACAGUAGCUACAGAUGCAAUUCUGGGGACUCUGUUUAGCAAUAGCUUAACUAUUGCUUGGCUACAAGCAUGGAUAACUUGUUCAAAGAUAAUGAGGAGUUGUAAAUAUUUAAAUAAACAGGAUUUGCAACAUAAAAA
RNAcentral lists this long non-coding RNA (8524 nucleotides) under Homo sapiens (human). Its description in RNAcentral is "non-protein coding MAGI2-AS3:41". The record is from RNAcentral. Lineage: Eukaryota; Metazoa; Chordata; Mammalia; Primates; Hominidae.